GAUGAACGCUGGCGGCGUGCCUAAUACAUGCAAGUCGAGCGAACGGACGAGAAGCUUGCUUCUCUGAUGUUAGCGGCGGACGGGUGAGUAACACGUGGAUAACCUACCUAUAAGACUGGGAUAACUUCGGGAAACCGGAGCUAAUACCGGAUAAUAUUUUGAACCGCAUGGUUCAAAAGUGAAAGACGGUCUUGCUGUCACUUAUAUAUGGAUCCGCGCUGCAUUAGCUAGUUGGUAAGGUAACGGCUUACCAAGGCAACGAUGCAUAGCCGACCUGAGAGGGUGAUCGGCCACACUGGAACUGAGACACGGUCCAGACUCCUACGGGAGGCAGCAGUAGGGAAUCUUCCGCAAAGGGCGAAAGCCUGACGGAGCAACGCCGCGUGAGUGAUGAAGGUCUUCGGAUCGUAAAACUCUGUUAUUAGGGAAGAACAUAUGUGUAAGUAACUGUGCACAUCUUGACGGUACCUAAUCAGAAAGCCACGGCUAACUACGUG
Molecule: ribosomal RNA, 497 nt
Filed under: uncultured bacterium
Lineage: Bacteria
Description: partial 16S ribosomal RNA
Rfam family: Bacterial small subunit ribosomal RNA
Source: RNAcentral